RNAcentral lists this ribosomal RNA (767 nucleotides) under uncultured bacterium. RNAcentral's name for it is "bacterial SSU rRNA". It matches the Rfam family "Bacterial small subunit ribosomal RNA", at positions 51 to 818 of the family's 1533-position model. The record is from RNAcentral.
ACACAUGCAAGUCGAACGAAGCACUUUAACCUGAUUCUUCGGAUGAAGGUUUUUGUGACUGAGUGGCGGACGGGUGAGUAACGCGUGGGUAACCUGCCUCAUACAGGGGGAUAACAGUUAGAAAUGACUGCUAAUACCGCAUAAGACCACAGAGCCGCAUGGCUCGGUGGGAAAAACUCCGGUGGUAUGAGAUGGACCCGCGUCUGAUUAGGUAGUUGGUGGGAUAACGGCCUACCAAGCCAACGAUCAGUAGCCGACCUGAGAGGGUGACCGGCCACAUUGGGACUGAGACACGGCCCAAACUCCUACGGGAGGCAGCAGUGGGGAAUAUUGCACAAUGGGGGAAACCCUGAUGCAGCGACGCCGCGUGAGCGAAGAAGUAUUUCGGUAUGUAAAGCUCUAUCAGCAGGGAAGAAAAUGACGGUACCUGACUAAGAAGCACCGGCUAAAUACGUGCCAGCAGCCGCGGUAAUACGUAUGGUGCAAGCGUUAUCCGGAUUUACUGGGUGUAAAGGGAGCGUAGACGGCUGUGUAAGUCUGAAGUGAAAGCCCGGGGCUCAACCCCGGGACUGCUUUGGAAACUAUGCAGCUAGAGUGUCGGAGAGGUAAGUGGAAUUCCCAGUGUAGCGGUGAAAUGCGUAGAUAUUGGGAGGAACACCAGUGGCGAAGGCGGCUUACUGGACGAUGACUGACGUUGAGGCUCGAAAGCGUGGGGAGCAAACAGGAUUAGAUACCCUGGUAGUCCACGCCGUAAACGAUGACUACUA